AUAUUAUUCAUCUGUGUGUCUGAAUGUUGUAUAGAAUAUUUUAUAUCAUAUAUUACAUAUAAAACAUAUAUUUUUGAAAGAAUUAACACUUUAAAAGUUUAAAUCUAAUUAAUACUCAAGGUAAAAGCUGUAAGCUUGUAACAUUUUUUGUAUCAAAUCAAAUGUACCUAUAUAGAUUAUCGCAGGAUCGUAACGAGAACUCGUAGAAAAGUAAAAAAUCAAUCGUUCGAUUUCAUUGUCAAUAUAACGAUUAGUCAAUUGCUAAAACUUGCUCUGCAUGAUCGAGUCUAUCGAAAAAAUCAUGUACAGACGCGUUAAAUUAUUUAAGAAUAAAAAAGCAGGUGAAAAUUGAGAUUGGGCAAAAAAUAUUUUGACAAGGGUACCAAUUGGACCUGUUGCGGUCCUAGCCAUCGGCAAGUCCAUAGUUCAGAGCUAAAUGCAAGAGUGCUUCGUCAUGGAAUCGCGUUUAUCUCCUUCCAAAUUCUUCAGAAAGUAGAAUAUUGUAUUGCGUUCAAGUUUUACAUAAUGUAAAAAAAGCGAUAUUUUAAUGAUGAGAUAACGUUUUCCAUUCAAUCCACUCAAUUCAUUCAGUCAGAAUAAUGAGAUAAGAUGUUGACCCGCAUGAUUAAUGAAAUACCGAAAUGUUAAAUAAUUCUCGACACGUGCUUUAUAAUCGUUUAUCAUGUGCGAAUACAAUCUCAUGGUCUGUUGUCUCGUCGUACGAUUGCAGUCGACUAAAACAGAUAAUUGCAAGAUUACAAAAAAUAAAUUUUAUAUAAUAUAUAUGACAUGUUUUAAAUAAAAUAUUUAAGGUAUAUUUAACAUAAAAUGUAUUAUUUUCACACAUAAAACAAUUUUAAUUUCUUACUAUUAUAUCAAGGUUGUGUCUGCUUUAUCAGGAUUCGAUUGAAGUAUCGUAUGAUAUGUACGUGCCAAUAACUGCGCUGUCGAUUAUACCAUGUACACGUACGAUAUAAGACAAUACUUAUCCAUCAUACAAUCAAACGAACAAAUAAACUAUUACAUAAUUAGA
Molecule: long non-coding RNA, 1033 nt
Organism: Monomorium pharaonis (pharaoh ant)
Lineage: Eukaryota; Metazoa; Arthropoda; Insecta; Hymenoptera; Formicidae
Exons: 2
Source: RefSeq, a predicted model, not a curated record